RNAcentral lists this ribosomal RNA (481 nucleotides) under uncultured bacterium. Its description in RNAcentral is "partial 16S ribosomal RNA". It matches the Rfam family "Bacterial small subunit ribosomal RNA", at positions 899 to 1397 of the family's 1533-position model. The record is from RNAcentral.
ACUCAAAGGAAUUGACGGGGACCCGCACAAGCAGCGGAGCGUGUGGUUUAAUUCGAUGCGACGCGAAGAACCUUACCUGGGCUUGACAUCUACUCGCAACUCCUUGAAAGAGGAGCCUCCGCAAGGACGGGUAGACAGGUGUUGCAUGGCUGUCGUCAGCUCGUGUCGUGAGAUGUUGGGUUAAGUCCCGCAACGAGCGCAACCCUCGUCUUUAGUUGCAAAUCUAAAGAGACUGCCGGAAACAAACCGGAGGAAGGUGGGGAUGAAGUCAAGUCAGCAUGACCCUUACGUCCAGGGCUACACACACGCUACAAUGGACCGUACAGCGAGAAGCCAUUCCGCGAGGAAGAGCAGACCUCUGAAAGCGGUCCCCAGUUCAGAUUGCAGUCUGCAACCCGACUGCAUGAAGGCGGAGUUGCUAGUAACCGCGUGUCAGCAUAGCGCGGUGAAUAUGUUCCCGGGUCUUGUACACACCGCCCGU